GAUGAAGAACGCAGCGAAAUGCGAUAAGUAGUGUGAAUUCCAGAAUUCAGUGAAUCAUCGAAUCUUUGAACGCACAUUGCGCCCCUUGGUAUCCCGAGGGGCAUGCCUGUUCGAGCGUCAUUUCUCCACUCAAGCCUGGCUUGGUGUUGGGCGACGUCCUCUUUGGGGACGCGCCUCGAAACGCUCGGCGGCGUGGCACCGGCUUUAAGCGUAGCAGAAUCUUUCGCUUUGGAAGUCGGGGCCCCGUCUGCCGGAAGACCUGCUCGCAAGGUUGACCUCGGAUCAGGCAGGGAUACCCGCUGAACUUAAGCAUAUCAAUAAGCGGAGGA
This 329-nucleotide unclassified non-coding RNA is filed under the name soil metagenome. RNAcentral's name for it is "partial contains 5.8S ribosomal RNA, internal transcribed spacer 2, and large subunit ribosomal RNA". The stretch from base 1 to 120 matches the Rfam family "5.8S ribosomal RNA", at positions 35 to 154 of the family's 154-position model. The record is from RNAcentral.